CAGUCGCCACGGUAAUACGAGGGGAGCUAGCGUUGUUCGGAAUUACUGGGCGUAAAGCGCGCGUAGGCGGCUUUUUAAGUCAGAGGUGAAAGCCCGGGGCUCAACCCCGGAAUUGCCUUUGAAACUGGAAAGCUAGAAUCUUGGAGAGGUCAGUGGAAUUCCGAGUGUAGGGGUGAAAUUCGUAGAUAUUCGGAAGAACACCAGUGGCGAAGGCGACUGACUGGACAAGUAUUGACGCUGAGGUGCGAAAGCGUGGGGAGCAAACAGGAUUAGAUACCCCUGUAGUCCCUGUCUCUUAUAC
Molecule: ribosomal RNA, 301 nt
Filed under: uncultured bacterium
Lineage: Bacteria
Description: partial 16S ribosomal RNA
Rfam family: Bacterial small subunit ribosomal RNA
Source: RNAcentral